Molecule: long non-coding RNA, 780 nt
Organism: Salvia miltiorrhiza (redroot sage)
Lineage: Eukaryota; Viridiplantae; Streptophyta; Magnoliopsida; Lamiales; Lamiaceae
Exons: 3
Source: RefSeq, a predicted model, not a curated record
AAGUGAAAAUGUUGGGAUAACACUUUGAUUCAAGUGGGAUUAAAUUCUUGAGCAAGUCAUUAUCCUAAUUCUACAAAAAAAACUCACGCACACCCUCCCUUCUCCUCCCCAUUCUCGGCCUCCCCUCUCUCUCUCUAUACUCUCUUUUCCUCCAUUGAUGUCCAUUGAAGAAAGCUUAGAGAAGCUUCAUCAAACACUACUAUGAGAUAAUCCACCAUCCAAUCCAAUCAAAUACCAUCAUAUCUCAUCAAAUUCAAGAAGCUAGAGCUAAGAUCAAAGUUGGAGCAAAGUCUUGAUCACCUUUUGAAUCCAUGAACACGAGCAGAGCAAGGAAGUAAGUAACUCCACUUUGACGAGAGAUUUUGAGUAAGGUCUUCAGGAUAAGCGGAGGGGGAGUAUGGUGCGGUGCUGGUGGAGAAUGUUUCGGGUUGACGUUUUCUUUCUCUAUCGUAUGUCUGUUUUGUCGAUAGAGUUUUGAUAUGAAGUUAUGUUAAAUAGAGUUUGAUGUUUAAGAUACUUAGUUUCCUUUGAAAAUCAAGCAUUUUACUCACGAUUAUGUGUCUUCAUACAUAUAGUCGGUUCACCUUUUGUUGUCACACUCUGAAUAUUAUGAUUCUACAUAAAAAUUGAGUUACCCUUGUUUUGCUUUUCAUGUUGAGAUUCCCGAUAUUUAUCGAGUUAUGACGAUGUUGACGGAUAUACCCUUUUGAUGAAUUAUGAUAAUCUUUCCUUAGCAUGUUUCUUCGUGAGUUUUCGCUGUUGAUCUAUGUAUUCUUUCUA